CGCCUGUUUAUCAAAAACAUCUCUUUUAGGGUUUUCUGCAUUAAAAGUAGGGCCUGCCCGGUGCUUUACGGAGUAAACGGCGGCGUUGGCUUUAAAGUAGCAUGGUAAGUCGGCCCUUAAUUGGGGUCUGGGAAGAAAGGUUUGACGUGGUUGUGACUGUCUCUGUUGUAAAAAUUYAAAUUUUCUUCUAAGUGAAAAGACUUAGUUUUAAAUAAAAGACGAGAAGACCCCGAUGAGCUUAUUAUGUUUUUAGAUGAAAUAAAGUUUAGAGAUUAUCUUUAAUUGGGGCAAUUGAGGAGUAAAGAUAACCUCCUUUUUAAUAACGAAGAGCCUUUAGGGAAAGAGAAAAGGAGAAAGCUACCACGGGGAUAACAGCGUGAUUCCCAUUCAGAGACCUUAUUGAAGUGGGUGUUGACGACCUCGAUGUUGGAUUAAAGUGCCUCCGCGGCGCAGAAGCUGUGGUAGUAAGUCUGUUCGACUUUCGAAACUUUACA
Molecule: ribosomal RNA, 494 nt
Filed under: Hiatella arctica
Lineage: Eukaryota; Metazoa; Mollusca; Bivalvia; Adapedonta; Hiatellidae
Description: partial 16S ribosomal RNA
Rfam family: Bacterial large subunit ribosomal RNA
Source: RNAcentral